CACUGGUGGCGACCGGCGCACGGUGAGUAACACGUGUGCAACCAACCCGACCGGAGAUAACCCGCGGAAACGUGGACUAACAUCCCAUGAGACUCUAGAUCCGCAUGGCUCUAGAUUUAAAAUUCCGGUGGUACGGGACGGGCACGCGCGACAUUAGGUAGUUGGCGGGGUAAGGGCCCACCAAGCCGACGAUGUCUAGGGGUUCUGAGAGGAAGGUCCCCCACACUGGAACUGAGACACGGUCCAG
This 247-nucleotide ribosomal RNA is filed under the name uncultured bacterium. RNAcentral describes it as "partial 16S ribosomal RNA". It matches the Rfam family "Bacterial small subunit ribosomal RNA", at positions 83 to 334 of the family's 1533-position model. The record is from RNAcentral.